CCUACGGGGGGCAGCAGUAGGGAAUUUUCGUCAAUGGGCGCAAGCCUGAACGAGCGAUGCCGCGUGAGUGAAGAAGGCCUUCGGGUCGUAAAGCUCUGUUGCGGGGGAAAAAAGGCAGCAUCAGGAAAUGGUGGCGGACUGAUGGUGCCCCGCCAGACAGUCACGGCUAACUACGUGCCAGCAGCCGCGGUAAUACGUAGGUGGCGAGCGUUAUCCGGAAUGCUUGGGCGUACAGGGUGCGCAGGCGGUCCUGCAAGUCUGGACUGAAACGCAUGAGCUCACCUCAUGCAUGGCUUUGGAAACUGGGGGCGUGGGCAGCAGGAGAGGGUGGUGGAACUCCAUGUGUAGCGGUAAAAUGCGUAGAUAUAUGGAAGAACACCAGUGGCGCAGGCGGCCGCCUGGCCUGUUGCUGACGCUGGGGCACGAAUGCGUGGGGAGCAAAUAGGAUUAGAUACCCGGGUAGUC
RNAcentral lists this ribosomal RNA (465 nucleotides) under uncultured bacterium. Its description in RNAcentral is "partial 16S ribosomal RNA". It matches the Rfam family "Bacterial small subunit ribosomal RNA", at positions 338 to 795 of the family's 1533-position model. The record is from RNAcentral.